AGAGGUGCGGCUCAGUUGUAGAGCAUUUUCCUUACAUGCAGAAGGUCCCGAGAUCAAUCCCUCUGUAUCUCCA
This is a non-coding RNA of Podarcis lilfordi (Lilford's wall lizard), 73 nucleotides long. The record is from the annotation of a GenBank genome assembly. Lineage: Eukaryota; Metazoa; Chordata; Lepidosauria; Squamata; Lacertidae.